This 497-nucleotide ribosomal RNA is filed under the name uncultured bacterium. Its description in RNAcentral is "partial 16S ribosomal RNA". It matches the Rfam family "Bacterial small subunit ribosomal RNA", at positions 28 to 507 of the family's 1533-position model. The record is from RNAcentral.
GAUGAACGCUGGCGGCGUGCCUAAUACAUGCAAGUCGAGCGAACAGACGAGGAGCUUGCUCCUCUGACGUUAGCGGCGGACGGGUGAGUAACACGUGGAUAACCUACCUAUAAGACUGGGAUAACUUCGGGAAACCGGAGCUAAUACCGGAUAAUAUAUUGAACCGCAUGGUUCAAUAGUGAAAGACGGUUUUGCUGUCACUUAUAGAUGGAUCCGCGCCGCAUUAGCUAGUUGGUAAGGUAACGGCUUACCAAGGCAACGAUGCGUAGCCGACCUGAGAGGGUGAUCGGCCACACUGGAGCUGCGACACGGUCCAGACUCCUACGGGAGGCAGCAGUAGGGAAUCUUCCGCAAUGGGCGAAAGCCUGACGGAGCAACGCCGCGUGAGUGAUGAAGGUCUUCGGAUCGUAAAACUCUGUUAUUAGGGAAGAACAAAUGUGUAAGUAACUAUGCACGUCUUGACGGUACCUGAUCAGAAAGCCACGGCUAACUACGUG